This is a non-coding RNA of Geosporobacter subterraneus DSM 17957, 218 nucleotides long. The record is from Rfam. Lineage: Bacteria; Bacillati; Bacillota; Clostridia; Peptostreptococcales; Thermotaleaceae.
AUAAAUGCGAUGAAGAGGACAGUAAUAAGAGAGACGGUUUACAGAGAGAUAAUCCUAGGGUGAAAGAUUAUUAACACGGCCUUUUAUGAAGAUCACCUCAGAGCCGGAUGCCUGAAUGACAGUAGGGAAUCCCGUAGGCAUACGUUACAUGCAUAGAGUGAUAAGGUAGGCAAUCUAUCUUAUAAUCAGGGUGGUACCGCGGUUUAUUCGUCCCUAAG